CUACGGGUUGCUCCAGUGAGGAAUAUUGGUCAAUGGACGCAAGUCUGAACCAGCCAUGCCGCGUGCAGGAAUGACGGCCCUAUGGGUUGUAAACUGCUUUUGUAAGGGGAGAAACCCUCGGUUGCGAUCGAGGCUGACGGUACCUUACGAAUAAGCAUCGGCUAACUCCGUGCCAGCAGCCGCGGUAAUACGGAGGAUGCAAGCGUUAUCCGGAUUUAUUGGGUUUAAAGGGUGCGCAGGCGGCUAAAUAAGUCAGUGGUGAAAUCGGAUGGCUCAACUAUCCAACUGCCAUUGAUACGGUAUAGCUAGAGUACAGAUGGGGUAGGCGGAAUGUAGCAUGUAGCGGUGAAAUGCAUAGAUAUGCUACAGAACACCAAUCGCGAAGGCAGCUUACCAAGCUGUUACUGACGCUCAGGCACGAAAGCGUGGGUAGCGAACAGGAUUAGAUACCCCUGUAGUC
Molecule: ribosomal RNA, 460 nt
Filed under: uncultured bacterium
Lineage: Bacteria
Description: partial 16S ribosomal RNA
Rfam family: Bacterial small subunit ribosomal RNA
Source: RNAcentral